Molecule: ribosomal RNA, 397 nt
Filed under: uncultured bacterium
Lineage: Bacteria
Description: bacterial SSU rRNA
Rfam family: Bacterial small subunit ribosomal RNA
Source: RNAcentral
AUAUUGCACAAUGGGGGAAACCCUGAUGCAGCGACGCCGCGUGAGUGAAGAAGUAUUUCGGUAUGUAAAGCUCUAUCAGCAGGGAAGAAGAUGACGGUACCUGAGUAAGAAGCCCCGGCUAACUACGUGCCAGCAGCCGCGGUAAUACGUAUGGUGCAAGCGUUAUCCGGAUUUACUGGGUGUAAAGGGAGCGUAGACGGAGCAGCAAGUCUGGAGUGAAAACCCGGGGCUCAACCCCGGGACUGCUUUGGAAACUGUUGUUCUAGAGUGCUGGAGAGGUAAGUGGAAUUCCUAGUGUAGCGGUGAAAUGCGUAGAUAUUAGGAGGAACACCAGUGGCGAAGGCGGCUUACUGGACAGUAACUGACAUUGAGGCUCGAAAGUGUGGGUAUCAAACAG